Calidris pugnax (ruff) is the source of this 726-nucleotide long non-coding RNA. RefSeq lists it as uncharacterized. The transcript has 3 exons. Lineage: Eukaryota; Metazoa; Chordata; Aves; Charadriiformes; Scolopacidae. The record is from RefSeq and is a predicted model, not a curated record.
CCACACGUACCGAUGCCCUGGAGCAGGGGGGUGGCUCUUUGACCCAUCUCUGGGCUGGGUUGUGCACCCCAGGAACCCUGAGGGGUUUCUUGGAAGCAGCAAGUGAGUUUGGGCGGCAGGAGGGCAUGAGUAACCAGGGAGGUGGCUGUGUGUCCCUGACUCAGUGGCAGCUGCCUCUGGGGCACGUCUGACGUGGGGAACGGGACGGGUCCCAGCACCGAGUGGGUCGGGCAGAUCUGCCUCUGAGCUACGUCAGCAGCGGAAACGCGGGGAGAAUUACACAGGUAACAGCCAAGAAAUGAGAUUCCGUGGCUAAAGGUGCCGAGGUUUUACCAGCCACUAGAAAAGAGGAAGGGCAGAGAAAGUGAAGCCUCCCAGACCCCACCAUCCUCUUCCUCCAGCCGACCUCAUCGGUGACCUCGGUCAGUGACAAACACGAUCCCGGCCCUGCCCGUCCUUAAUUAACUUCCUUCUGGCCAUCCCACAGUUCGGGAGAGUAUGAUUCACGCUUAACUCGAGGAGUUGUGUGCUGCAAGAUAAAAAUGGGUUUAUUGGGAACAUCAUCAGAGAGGAGUGAGACCUCUGAGGGCACUCGGCAGAGGGUCAGACUGGCCAGACUCGGGGGAGAGGCAGGAAGCGUUUCUGGGCGAGUAGCUGUGAAAUCCUGGGCCUUUCUGUCUCCGUGGAGUCAGCCUGGCUGCCUUCUGGGAAGAGAGAGCUGAUGAG